Pan paniscus (pygmy chimpanzee) is the source of this 718-nucleotide long non-coding RNA. Lineage: Eukaryota; Metazoa; Chordata; Mammalia; Primates; Hominidae. The record is from Ensembl.
CAAAAUGUGGGCUUCUACGAAAUGCUGCUGUAGGAAUGUGUGCUGUAAGAAGAGCCCCACUUCCUUCUGUAAUAACCAGUUUUCUCCUAACCAGAAAGGCAUGGGCUUUAAUGCAAAGCUCUACGGAUUUACUGUCCUCCGUGACGCUUGGGCACCACAGAAUACUGUCGGACUGCAUUAUGCGAAGGGAUCACAGGAAGUCACUAAGGAGCAGCCCUGUCACAACAGCCUCCAAAGGACAGAGAGUGAACCACAGAGGAAAUUCGAAUGCAUGUACAGUGGGUUCCACUACCAGGGAGCCUGAGCUUGGGACAAGAGGAGCUCAUCACCACCAGAAAAUACUACCAACAUGCCCAAGAGUUUGUUUCCCAUACUUUUAAAGGAAAAAAAAAAUGGAUGGUUCUGAAAUCACCUGGGUUUGUUUUAUUACAUUAUAUCUUCUGGCAAGAUCAGUGAUGGCAGAUGUGAUUCAGCAAUAGAAGCAUGGCUGUACUGGUAGGUUUUUAAAAUAAAUUCAAGGGCUGUACUUUCUGACUGGCUACCUCUCUGUGGUUUGGCUUUUUAAUGGAGUUCAAUAGGCUUCAUGUUUCUUAUUAUGAUUUCCUUUAAAAUCUCUGUAUACGAUAAUGUUUGUGCUACUGGAUAUUGCUCUAGUUUUCUUUAAAUGCCACAUCUUCAACACAGUAUAGUAAAGAUGUGCUAAUUAAACUCAAUCUAU